ACUGAACCCUUCUCUCAGUUAGUGAUAACUGCAUCAAUGUUUCUUCCAGCAUGCCAGCAAACAUCCAAGUCAAG
RNAcentral lists this long non-coding RNA (74 nucleotides) under Chinchilla lanigera (long-tailed chinchilla). RNAcentral describes it as "lncRNA (ENSCLAG00000026511.1)". The record is from RNAcentral. Lineage: Eukaryota; Metazoa; Chordata; Mammalia; Rodentia; Chinchillidae.